Molecule: long non-coding RNA, 7753 nt
Organism: Planococcus citri (citrus mealybug)
Lineage: Eukaryota; Metazoa; Arthropoda; Insecta; Hemiptera; Pseudococcidae
Exons: 2
Source: RefSeq, a predicted model, not a curated record
CGGUUUUUUAGUGACGGCGGUUUUCCAGUUUAUUCUUACCCCCCGGCGCCACCGGGGGGCGUGGUAGUCCACUCAGUUUCACGCGCCGUUCGUUCGAAACGCCUCUACUGAGGCGUACGACGAGGUCUUUCACGAUUUCUACUCCAGAGACGAGGACCGAUCGAUUCAUCGCUUUAUUCGAGACGUUUCCUCCGAGCGGAGUCCUCGAAAGGUGCGGCGAAUCUUCACAGUCCCCUUCCCCGAGAUGAUGAGGAUCGACUCGCCGUCCGUUCGUUCUUUCGAAACGCUUUCUCCGAUCGGGGUCUUUGGAAGCGUACGGCGAGUCUUACACCACCAUCCCGACGCGUGUCUGAGUGUAGUCCCGUGACCACUCGAUGCCAUUGGUUCGCUUGCACCACCGUACAAUAUGAUGCAAGUUACUAAGCCCCAGUGUUAGGUAUUGCAGUUGUUUUUAUAGCAUUCCAUGAUCAUUAAACACCUUCAUAAUUUUUACUAAUCCUGAUAUUGUGAAAUUCUUGCAAUUUUACAUUUUAUGCCCCUCAUUCAGCGACCAUUUCCUGCGACUUUGCAUAUUUUUCAUUCAAUUCAUCAACCAAUAUCCGCAAUUCUUCUCUCUCCUAUGUUGUAUACCAAUGAAAAUUCUCUUGGAUUCCUCCGCGGCAUUGUAUAGUUUUUUGUCUGCUAACGAUUGGACGAUCACACUGACGAUCACUCACACGAUUGGACGAUCACCCUACACAAUUUGGCUGCAUCGAAUCCGUCGCUGAUCAUCUACGUCUAUGUGCCAUGUAUUUAGAGUGUAUUGUUAGCUUGGCCUGCUUUUGAAAAGUUGAAAAUAAAAUUAGCAAAUCUGGAAAAACAUUUGGUCAAGGAAAACGAUUCCAAAAUGACCAAAGUGGCGACUGGACCAAAAAAAUGUAAUUCAAUUUUCAAUUUUUAAGAGACGAUGGCAUUUUUAAUGGCUUUGUAACCUAUCUGAAAAAUGGGUACGGUAAAUUAAUACCUUCAAAACUAUCAAUUUCGAUAUCAUCAUUCACAGUCGCAGUAUUAGUAGUAUCAGCAUCAGAAGGUACAAAUUAUGAAAUAGACUACUUCUCUUAUACGAUACCGGAUCUGUAACGCGAAUAAAUUUACUGCAAUUAAGAUCAACGAACACCACCUACGACAAUGCCGCAACGUUUAUCUGCUAACUUCACAGAUUUAUUCUCCGACUUGACACCUGUUGUGAUUCAUCAAGCUUUAGCAGCUUACGAUGUUCGAAGAACCGAAUUAAUGAACAGCGAAGUUAAUAAAUUGAGAGAAUCUACGCAGCUUUUGAAUAGGUAUGGAAAUAAAUACCGAGUGUGAGGUUUUGAUUAGUUGGUUUUCCAUUUGUGACUUUAUUUUUCUUGUAGUGUGUUAGCAUUAUGGAAUUCUCGUGCUAAAUCCAUUUUCAUAGCAUUACCACGUGGUGCUCGUAGGAAACCCGUAAAGACAAUUUGCACACCAAGAAGUGGAUAAAUGUCUCCUGUUGUGUUUGUAGAGCGUUGCGAUACGGAAUAGUAAUGCUAAAGUGAAUAUUAUUAUCAAUUUUUUAUGUAACACCUCUAUUAUCAAACAAAAAAUCAAAAAAACUUACCUGAAUUCAAAACGUACGAAAAGCAAGAAGGACAACGUCAAACCACCUACGAUCUGAUAUCAACUGGCACGAGAAAUCCGUCGGGCGCUUUACGUUCACAAAGCUCCCAGGCGCACUUGUGAUGGUAUAAAUGGCCACAAUCUCCGGCUCGGAUCACCAUUUCUCCACUCAAUAACGGUCGAUUACAAAAUUCCCAAACGAUUAUUAAAUUCAUCGUGCUAAAAAAAAUAGAACGCGUUAUUGAUACAUCAUCGACAUAAUAUACAGGGUUGAAAGCGUUUAAAUUUAAUUGCCUUUGUCGUUUUAAUAACCUACGCCUAUAGAGGGGUUACAUUAUAAACCGCUAAGACGAUCAGAGCAUGCCUGCUCAUCACAAUAAACAAAUAUUUCAAUUUGAAUUUUAAAAUUAUGUGGGUUCAAGUCUAAUUUUUUUGAGCUUUUUGGCCUAAAUUCUAAUAAUUUUCAUACCAUUCAUCCACCAACGUCUUGACAACGCCUAAUAGAACAGUGUGCAUAUAAUCGAAUGCAAAGGAUUGUCCAACAUCAAAUGUUGGACAAAUGGAUGAAAUGCAUGGAUGCUUCAUUCCAUUCACAGCUUUAUUGUCAUUCUUUAAAGCUUCUUCACUAUCACGUAAAUGUUGUUGUGCGGUUCUAGGAGCACCAGUUAUUGCACCAGGAUAAAUACGCGUCCUGUUAUUAAUUCUUUCCCCGGGUAUUAAGCAAUAAGUGCAUCCUUGAGUACCAUUAUAUUGCUCAAUUCCUUGAAUUAGUAGUCGGGCAACAGAAUCGACAGAACUUGAAAUCACAUGAGCUUUGAUUCAUUGUACUGAAUCGCUGUGUUGAACUAUAAACUCAUGUUCACUCAGGUUUGAAAGUUCUUUCACUGUAGGUGCCAAGUAUGCCUCAUAAAUAGCUUUGCUGAAAGCUGCAGGCGAAAUUUUCAAGCCCAGAGGCAACGCAGUAAAUUCAUACAGUUCAUUUUCAAAAAUAAUACAUAGUUGCGAUUUUUCCAUCUGCAGAUUGAAUUGUGAUUUGAAAAAAACCUUGAUUGGUAUCUAGUGUACAAAAACAGUUUUUCCCAUCCAUGGUCAUAAAAGUAUUGCUUCGAAUAAUUUAUAAUAUAAUAUGUACGAGUAUUAAUAAUAAUGAACAAUAGAUAGAUAGGUACAUUUUAUGCAUUUUCGAAAAUUAAUGACCCAUGUCCAUUUUCGAUUUUAAUCAAAAAUGGACUAAAGUUUUCGCUUUUCUCAUAAAAGUAGGUACAAAACUUUAAAUAAUUUAUAAUAAGUAUACGAGUAAUAAUAAUAAAAAACAAUCAAUAGAUAAAUGAAAUCAAAAAUGGGCAUCAGUUGUAAAAUUUAUCAGUUCGUGAUUAGGGAACUAUUCAUGAUCUGGUUUAUCUGCAGCUCGUCGAGCGCGUGGCAGUUGGACUUCUUUGUAGUCGAGAAGUUGUCAAGCACGACAAGAAUCCGAUUUUGCUCUGUCGAGGAAGUUAAAAUACAUUCUCUAAAUAAGGACUAUUUACCGGCAGGUCGCUGAAAAAACGGACACUGGUGACAUCUUCCAAUCGACAAACGUGCUCGUAAUUUUUGUUUGAAGUGGAUGCAUCAAUACGAAUCGUGGCGGUUGGUUGUUUCUGUUUGGUUUUGAUUUUGUCUUCUGGGCCAAUUGUUUCAUUUCAUUAUUUGCUUCAAUGAAGUACUGGCCCUUGAACUACUCACCUCGAGCGCAUCCAGCUGAUUAGCAAUAAAAUUCAGGAUGGUUAGCAAUACAGCUGCGAUUUAAUCUGUAAUGCCCCACCCCCUGAAUUUCUCAUUAGAUUUACUUCUAGUAAAUAGAAGGUUGAUGAGGCCAUCGGCCACGCCAUAAAACGGUUUAGCACGUGGGAUAUUUUCCUUUCUAAACGUAAUAUGGUUGCUGAUACAUUUAGACCCACUUCGUUGCUUAAUAGUUCGGAGUUCUCCAUUUUUGGAUACUCCGAAUGGGAUGGGAAAUUAUUAUUCCAAAAUAUGGGAUAAGGCGAAGAACGCCCUUAUGCCACGAGACAUAAUGUGGUAUGGUAAGUCACCCAUGAGACAAUACAUCGGAUCUCCGAUACAACAUAGCAAAACUAUCACUGUUACUCGAUAGUGAAGCUUGCAUGGUGUUACGCGCCAUGCCAGUACUACCAAACAACCAAACCAAUUAAACAAUUUUCAUGAUGGUGCAGAAAACGGAAAUAUAUUCGUGGUUUGAUUGGUGUUUUAAGAAUAUAUUAAUACAAAGAAUUACUUUUAUGGAACAUUUACAAAAUCAAUUAUACUUACAAUUUUCUUUAUUAUUUCUUCUGUUUUUCAUAGUAAUGUUAUAACAGAGAACUCUGUUGAACCAAAUCAACGGCUUCCACGUUCUGUUGGUGGUAAUUUCUAAUUUAAUAACGAACAAAUACAUUUAAUAUUAUUAUUGGAUUUAUAAUUCAUUUUCUUAGGGUGGUUGCGGGUUAGAUGCCGGUGCGGGUUAGAUGCCGGUGUCGUCACCAAUCGCUCCCUAUCAACUCUUUCUGAAAACUGAUUAGCACAGAUUAUUCCUUAAGGUGAACAUAGUUUGUGUUAAAGUUUUGAUCUGUGACGGUUAUUGUUAACCUGGUUUGAUAUGCGAAUGAAAAAAUUUAUGUAGCUAAAACCAGUGAUACUUUUUUCACGUAAUUUUUGAAACGCAUUUUUUCUCCAGAAAAAGUGUUUCAAAACUGCAUGUAAGUAUCUCACGCAUAAGUAUAUACCUUGAACUAACAUAUUCAAGCAAAUUUACAAAAAUUUGUUUCAAUUCUGGUAUGAAAAUUGACCUUGCAAUCUGACCCAUCAUUUCGGGAUAGAUGCCGGUUUUUGUGAUCGGGAUAGAUGCCCAUAGUAAUUAAAUGGGAGUGAGGAAGGUGAAAUUUUUUUUUUGUUAAUACUGCGGCAAAAAGUCCAAAAAUGAUGGUUCUUCAAAUAUUUUCAACUGGCGUGGUCAAUUUUUGGAAUUACAUUCAUUUUUAACACAUAUUGUCAAUUCUCAAAAACACCUUUUUUAUUUUUUGAUUAAUUAAACUUCCAUUGUGAAUUUUUGAUGUUCAUUUUAUUUAUUGUGCAUGAAAUAAAAGAAUUUCAUCGAAUUCAAUCUUCCAGGAGCCUUUUUUGGGGGGGUUUUGGGUAGUGGCAUCUAUCCCUCACCAAAUCAGCAUCUAACCCGCACUGGGGGGAUAGAUGCCAGUAGGUGCGGGUUAGAUGCCGGUCAAAAAGUGACCUUGUUUUUUUUUCAAAUUGCAAAAAAACUACUGGAUACAAAAAAUUACACUUUUAGUAUAAUAUAGAGGAAUAAUUGCUCUACCGAUUCGCGCAAAUUUGAAAUCAUUUCGAUGAAAAUUAUGGCAGUGAGGCUCAAAAAACCACGACACACCGGCAUCUAACCCCCGACUAUGGGCAUCUAACCCGCAACCACCCUACAUUCAUUUGACGUAAUGUAGGAUGACAUAUUUUCUCACAAAUCAAUUGUGCAAUCCGAUCACCUUUCUUAAGAACCAUUAAUUGUUUCGAAAAAUUGAAAACAAUUGCACAAACAUUACCCCUGUAAUCAGCAUCUAUUACUCCACCUGUAUAUGAAUUGGAAAAAAUUCUAAAAAUUACUUACUUUGAAUUUGUUCGUUUUCUAAAAAUUAUGUUUUCAAAAAGAAUACUUCAUUGAAUGUUAUCAUUUUUAAAAAAUAAAUGAGGAAGGCAACCUGAAAAAACAGUAAAGAAAAUACAAAACGUAACUAAACCAAAUGAAAAUAAAAAAACCAGAACUGCUAGCUUCUGAAAAAAAGCAAGGAAAAAUGAAAUUAAAAUGGAAAAAUAAUAAUUUAAAUAACAAAACUACUGGCUUCUGAAAAAACCUGAAAACAAAUAAAAUUGAUACGUAUUAAAAAUGGAAAAGUGACUUCGAAAAGAAAAAAAAGGAAAUACGUAUCUAAGUUAUACUUAAAUUAACGUUACUAAUCUUUAUGAUUUUUUUGGGAGGGUUGUUCGACGGGGUUUCGUUUAUGUCGAACUUAAUUGUAGUGCUUUUCUUAUGGUAAUUUUCAUCUCCAAUGGUUCAUUGAGCAUAAAAUUUUCAUUGCUUUGAACAAUUUUUUCGACUUCUGCCAACACUAUGUCAGUGGUCAACUGGGAACAUUUUCUGAAUGUUACAAACACAGGCUUUGUGAAUGAUUGAUUACCUAGUGUAACACCAAUCAUAUCAUCUUCAGGUAUAUCAGUCAUAUGUUUUUCCAAAAUUGAAUCGAAUAUCUUCUGAAUGUGUUGACGAGGGUCUUGAUUUCCUCGCGCGUAGGCAGACACAUUUUUUUUUCAAAAUAAUAUUAGAAACAAGAAUACACAAAGUUUGAAAAUAUUUUACCGAGAGCACAAGAAUCACUACUACCACAAGAGACUUCACACAAUAAGAAAAACAAUUUCGUCAAAUGAAGUUGAAAAACCCAAAAUUUACAUUGAAACAGCUUGAAGUGUUCAAUAGGUUUUUUUUCCAGCUUGAAAUUCCUACCAAAAUUUUUUUGGUAAAUGAAGUUGAAAAACCCAAAUUCAACCAAAAAUUCAUAUUGAAAAUUUUACAGGAGAGUGAUUUUAUUUUUUUAAAAACUUGAUUCAUUAUUUCUAUCAACUUAUAAUUAAUUGUGAGGGAUGAAUAUUACCUCAUUUCAAACAUAUACAAAAAAAGGCCCUAGGCAGAUAAGCAUGGUCGAGCGGCCCCCGGCACCUUCAGAGGUGAAACUUAUGUGAUGUAUAGGUACCCCCAAGAUAAGUAUUUUCCCCAAGUUUUGGACCUCAACUCUGAGUGGUUCUUGAGUAAUUCCUCAAAAAUCGAAAAUCGUUUUUAAUUAUUUUCUCAAGAUUGACUCGGCCGAUUUUUUUCAAACUUGAACCAAAGUGUACGUAUGCGUAAGGGCUUUUCCCAAAAAAAUCAACAGCCCCCUCCCCCCACUUUUUCCCUUCCAAAAUUUCGAUUCAAUUUUUUGAGGUCCCCCUUACCCCCCAAGGCCUUUUGGCACACUUUUUGAAAAAUAUUUUUUAGAUGCAGUAUUGAUCCUAGAACAACAUAUAUUUUACCCAAAAGUGUACCUCGGGUGCGCCGUAGUCAAAUUCCACCAAAACCAACACCCUCUCACCUGGAAUAGGGUUAAUACGGUAUGCAACUGCUGUUCAAGUAUAACUGCCGGAGUAUUAUUAAUAAUGUUGUAAUUUUCAACUGAAAAUAAUAUGUUUGAGUCGUUAUUCGUUAUUCACAAGUUAAUAUUUUUAGGGGUAGCGAAGCACCCCCCCCCCCCCCCUCCUGCCCCAUUUUUGGGCAAAGUGAAAUUUUCAAUAUGGGUGUCGUUUUCAUAUGAAUCGGACACGCCGAGUCCGAAAAUGAGGUCCAAUUUUCAUUCUGAUACCCAUAAGUACCUCAUUCGGGGCGAAUUACACUGUAAAAAUAGACUUUUAUACAUUUGAAAAAAUGUACUUACACCUUACUGAACUUUGGAACUGGAAAUAGCGCUAUGCGAUUUUGAAUCUCGACCACCGAGACAAUAUGUUUAUACCAAACUAUACUAGAUUUUAUUAAAAACAUGAAUAAUUGAAGUUUUUACAAAAUCGAAAAAAUAUAAUUGGUGUAAUUAAGCUAAAACGACAUUUUUACAACAUAAAGUUAAAGGUAUCAUAUAAAAUGUACAAACACAACCUAGUUAUCACCCAGAAUGAUCAUUAUUAUGAUACAUAUGUAGAAAAAAAUUCACAUUACAUGCACAAACGAAAUUUUAUGGGAAUGAACUCAAAAAAAAGACAUCAACAAUCAAAAAAACAAAGAAAAAAAUGCAUUAACGAAAUUGUGGACCAAAAAAAAAAAAAAAGAAUCAAGAAAAGAUGCACAAACAAAAUUAUUGACCAAAAAAAAAAAAAAGAGAAAGAACCAAAAAAAGAUGCACAAACGAAAUUAUGAACCAAAUUAAAAAAAAAAAUCAAGAAAAGAUGUACAAACCAAGUUAUGGACUAAAAAAAAAUCAAGAUAAAAUGCACAAACAGACUUAUUGUAAAAAAAAAAAAAAACUAAGAAAAGAAGUAUGCCAUAAGAGAUUAGAAAUGUGAAAUACAGUACAAAGAAAAA